GUAAACUCUCAUGCCAUUAGGGGAGGCAAAGUCUGUACAACUGAGAGUACAAAUGUGCUCUCAAGAGCUUGGGUUGGACAUUGGUGGUACUUGGAUGGGAGACCCCCUGGGAAUAAAAGGUGCUGGAGUUGUGA
Molecule: ribosomal RNA, 134 nt
Filed under: Pogona vitticeps (central bearded dragon)
Lineage: Eukaryota; Metazoa; Chordata; Lepidosauria; Squamata; Agamidae
Source: RNAcentral